UGCAACUCGCCUGCAUGAAGUCGGAAUUGCUAGUAAUCGCAGAUCAGCAUGCUGCGGUGAAUACGUUCCCGGGCCUUGUACACACCGCCCGUCACACCAUGGGAGCCGGUAAUACCCGAAGUCAGUAGUCCAACCUCGUGAGGACGCUGCCGAAGGUAGGAUUGGCGACUGGGGUGAAGUCGUAACAAGGUACC
RNAcentral lists this ribosomal RNA (194 nucleotides) under uncultured bacterium. RNAcentral describes it as "partial 16S ribosomal RNA". It matches the Rfam family "Bacterial small subunit ribosomal RNA", at positions 1306 to 1500 of the family's 1533-position model. The record is from RNAcentral.